UGGGGAAUUUUGGACAAUGGGCGCAAGCCUGAUCCAGCCAUGCCGCGUGCGGGAAGAAGGCCUUCGGGUUGUAAACCGCUUUUGUCAGGGAAGAAACGCUCUGGGCUAAUACCCUGGGGUAAUGACGGUACCUGAAGAAUAAGCACCGGCUAACUACGUGCCAGCAGCCGCGGUAAUACGUAGGGUGCAAGCGUUAAUCGGAAUUACUGGGCGUAAAGCGUGCGCAGGCGGUUAUGCAAGACAGAUGUGAAAUCCCCGGGCUCAACCUGGGAACUGCAUUUGUGACUGUAUAGCUAGAGUACGGUAGAGGGGGAUGGAAUUCCGCGUGUAGCAGUGAAAUGCGUAGAUAUGCGGAGGAACACCGAUGGCGAAGGCAAUCCCCUGGACCUGUACUGACGCUCAUGCACGAAAGCGUGGGGAGCAAACGGGAUUAGAUACCCCCGUAGUCCCUGAGCGGGCUGGCAAGGCGCAU
RNAcentral lists this ribosomal RNA (472 nucleotides) under uncultured bacterium. RNAcentral's name for it is "bacterial SSU rRNA". It matches the Rfam family "Bacterial small subunit ribosomal RNA", at positions 355 to 825 of the family's 1533-position model. The record is from RNAcentral.